Molecule: ribosomal RNA, 1100 nt
Filed under: Bacillus altitudinis
Lineage: Bacteria; Bacillati; Bacillota; Bacilli; Caryophanales; Bacillaceae
Description: bacterial SSU rRNA
Rfam family: Bacterial small subunit ribosomal RNA
Source: RNAcentral
AANGGGAGCUUGCUCCCGGAUGUUAGCGGCGGACGGGUGAGUAACACGUGGGUAACCUGCCUGUAAGACUGGGAUAACUCCGGGAAACCGGAGCUAAUACCGGAUAGUNUCCUUGAACCGCAUGGUUCAAGGAUGAAAGACGGUUUCGGCUGUCACUUACAGAUGGACCCGCGGCGCAUUAGCUAGUUGGUGAGGUAACGGCUCACCAAGGCGACGAUGCGUAGCCGACCUGAGAGGGUGAUCGGCCACACUGGGACUGAGACACGGCCCAGACUCCUACGGGAGGCAGCAGUAGGGAAUCUUCCGCAAUGGACGAAAGUCUGACGGAGCAACGCCGCGUGAGUGAUGAAGGUUUUCGGAUCGUAAAGCUCUGUUGUUAGGGAAGAACAAGUGCAAGAGUAACUGCUUGCACCUUGACGGUACCUAACCAGAAAGCCACGGCUAACUACGUGCCAGCAGCCGCGGUAAUACGUAGGUGGCAAGCGUUGUCCGGAAUUAUUGGGCGUAAAGGGCUCGCAGGCGGUUUCUUAAGUCUGAUGUGAAAAGCCCCCCGGCUCAACCCGGGGAGGGUCAUUGGAAACUGGGAAACUUGAGUGCAGAAGAGGAGAGUGGAAUUCCACGUGUAGCGGUGAAAUGCGUAGAGAUGUGGAGGAACACCAGUGGCGAAGGCGACUCUCUGGUCUGUAACUGACGCUGAGGAGCGAAAGCGNUGGGGAGCGAACAGGAUUAGAUACCCUGGUAGUCCACGCCGUAAACGAUGAGUGCUAAGUGUUAGGGGGUUUCCGCCCCUUAGUGCUGCAGCUAACGCAUUAAGCACUCCGCCUGGGGAGUACGGUCGCAAGACUGAAACUCAAAGGAAUUGACGGGGGCNCCGCACAAGCGGUGGAGCAUGUGGUUUAAUUCGAAGCAACGCGAAGAACCUUACCAGGUCUUGACAUCCUCUGACAACCCUAGAGAUAGGGCUUUCCCUUCGGGGACAGAGUGACAGGUGGUGCAUGGUUGUCGUCAGCUCGUGUCGUGAGAUGUUGGGUUAAGUCCCGCAACGAGCGCAACCCUUGAUCUUAGUUGCCAGCAUUUAGUUGGGCACUCUAAGGUGACUG